This 428-nucleotide ribosomal RNA is filed under the name uncultured prokaryote. RNAcentral describes it as "bacterial SSU rRNA". It matches the Rfam family "Bacterial small subunit ribosomal RNA", at positions 355 to 796 of the family's 1533-position model. The record is from RNAcentral.
UGGGGAAUUUUCCGCAAUGGGCGCAAGCCUGACGGAGCAAGACCGCGUGGGGGAGGAAAGCCUUUGGGUCGUAAACCCCUUUUGUCAGGGAAGAAACCCUUGACGGUACCUGACGAAUCAGCCUCGGCUAACUCCGUGCCAGCAGCCGCGGUAAUACGGAGGAGGCAAGCGUUAUCCGGAAUCAUUGGGCGUAAAGCGUCCGCAGGUGGCCGAGUAAGUCUGCUGUUAAAGACCACGGCUCAACUGUGGGCAGGCAGUGGAAACUGCGCGGCUAGAGUGCGGUAGGGGUAGAGGGAAUUCCCGGUGUAGCGGUGAAAUGCGUAGAGAUCGGGAAGAACACCGGUGGCGAAGGCGCUCUACUGGGCCGCAACUGACACUCACAGGACGAAAGCUAGGGGAGCGAAAGGGAUUAGAUACCCCCGUAGUCC